RNAcentral lists this small RNA (129 nucleotides) under Fusobacterium animalis. RNAcentral's name for it is "Ribosomal protein L10 leader". It matches the Rfam family "Ribosomal protein L10 leader". Rfam says of the family: This family is a putative r-protein leader autoregulatory structure found in B. subtilis and other low-GC Gram-positive bacteria. It is located in the 5' untranslated regions of mRNAs encoding ribosomal proteins L10 and L12 (rplJ-rplL). The record is from RNAcentral. Lineage: Bacteria; Fusobacteriati; Fusobacteriota; Fusobacteriia; Fusobacteriales; Fusobacteriaceae.
UAAAUAUAAAUCCAAACCAAAGACCGUAGGGGGAUAUAUAAUCCUUAAAUAACCUACCGAGGUUGGAAAGUUAGAUAUACUAACCUCAAAACUCAACCCCCUGUCUUUGCGAUAGGGGUAUAUUUUUAG